ACCCUACUCGGGUCCCAUUGACCCCAUUGGGACCCCAUUGACCCCAUUGUGACCCCAUUGUCCCUAUUGACCCCAUUGGGACCCCAUUGUCCCCAUUGAUCGGAUUGGGACCCCAUUGGGACCCCAUUGACCCCAUUGUGGCCCCAUUGAUUCCAUUGGGACCACUUUGGGACCCCCUUGUUCUCAUUGACCCUAUUGGGAUCCCAAUGACCCCAUUGGGGCCCCAUUGAUCUCAUUGACCCUAUUGGGAUCCCAUUGACCCCAUUGAGGCCCCAUUGACCCCAUUGGGGCCCCAUUGACCACAUUGGGGCUCCAUUGACCCCAUUGGGGCCCCAUUGAUCUCAUUGACACUAUUGGGAUCCCAUUGACCCCAUUGGGACCCCAUUGGGACCCCAUUGUCCCCACUGACCCCAUUGGGACCCCAUUGACCCCACUGACCUCCAUUGACCCCAAUGGGACCCCACGGUCCCCACUGACCCCAUUU
RNAcentral lists this long non-coding RNA (484 nucleotides) under Gallus gallus (chicken). Lineage: Eukaryota; Metazoa; Chordata; Aves; Galliformes; Phasianidae. The record is from RNAcentral.